GCCUUCGUAGUGUAGUGGUCAGCACGCUCGACGCGUAACCGAGAGGUCAAUGGUUCAAUUCCCGGCGAAGGCG
This is a non-coding RNA of Stegodyphus mimosarum, 73 nucleotides long. The record is from Rfam. Lineage: Eukaryota; Metazoa; Arthropoda; Arachnida; Araneae; Eresidae.